Plodia interpunctella (Indianmeal moth) is the source of this 4107-nucleotide RNA transcript. It is a transcript of the gene named protein phosphatase 1 regulatory subunit 7-like, with no coding region annotated. The record is from RefSeq and is a predicted model, not a curated record. Lineage: Eukaryota; Metazoa; Arthropoda; Insecta; Lepidoptera; Pyralidae. The transcript has 8 exons.
CUACCUCCUCCUCCCGCUCCUCCGACCUCCCUCAAUCAAGUCUUGAUUCAAUGGAAUUUUUCGAAUUCGAAACAUUUUGCAUUUCCAUUUUAUUUUCUGAUUAUUUUGAAAGUAUCUCGCAAAUAUAAAGUGUGUAUACUACCUCUGACACUUAUAUUGCAGAAAACUUCAGCAAGAAAAUGUCAGAUGAUAAAAAUACGCCUAUGGAGACUGAUCGAGCUCCUAAGGACGUAGCAAUUAGUGAGAAUGUAAACACGGCUGAACAAAAUGGGACUCCGCCGCCGCCUGUUACGCCGCCGCCGACAGAAGAAGAGACUCAAGACAUUAUUGUUGUAAACGAGCAUACUGAGGAACUCGAUCUGAACCACGGGAGGAUAGGAAAAAUUGAGAACCUUGAGCGACUUAAAAAAUUAGAAAGGUUAUAUUUGAGGUGGAACCUCAUCAAGAAGAUAGAAGGGCUGGACACAUUGACUACACUGGUGGAACUGGAGCUGUAUGACAAUCAGAUUGUUGUUAUUGAGAAUCUCGACAACCUGGUCAAUCUAGAAAUCCUGGACCUAUCAUUCAACAGAAUAAAAGAGAUAACUGGUCUGCAGAGGCUGCUGAACCUCCGGAAGCUGUACCUCAGCUCCAACAAGAUCAGCGAGAUCAAGAAUAUCAACCAUCUGCCAAAACUGGAAAUGCUUGAGCUUGGUGACAACCGUAUUAGGGAAAUCAAGAAUCUCGAAGGCCUGACGACACUCAAGCAGCUAUAUCUAGGAAAGAACAAAUUAACCAUGAUACAAAACUUAGAUGAUCUGACCAAUCUAGAGAUACUGGUGCUACAAAGUAACAGGUUAACAAAGAUCGAGAACUUGGAAAACUUAACCAAACUUGAGCAGCUAUACAUAUCAGAGAACGGUCUCACUGCCAUAGAGAAUCUGAACAACCAAGUGAACCUUCAGACCCUGGACCUCGCCAAUAACAAGAUCACGGAGAUCGACAACGUCAGACAUAUGAAGGACCUUGAGGAAUUGUGGCUGAACGACAACCAAAUAUCGAACUGGUCGUCGAUAGAAUACCUGCAACAAAACAAGAAAAUCCAGACGAUAUACUUAGAGAGGAACCCGCUAGCUACGGACCCGGCCUACCGUCGGAAACUGAAACUGUUGCUGCCAUCGCUGACGCAGAUCGACGCCACUUUGUGUAGAUAAUUCACUGUUUUAUGUAGAUAGAUGUAGUUUGUUCAUAUGUAGUAUAGUCUGUUUAGUGUUGCCACCUUUUUAUGCCGAAAUUAUAGUAUUUAUUUCCAAAAAUAGCGCUAAAAAUUUAUAUUUUUUGUAUACUUUUUUUUGUAUGAUAUUAUAGUAUAACUAGCGGCUCGCCCCGUCUUCGCUCGGGUAAAACCAUAAUAAAAAGUAGCCUAUGUAACUCCUGAAGGUUUCACCUAUCUCUGUGCCAAAUUUCAUCAAAAUCGGCCCAGUAGUUUUUGAGUUCAUUACAAACAAAAAUACAAAUUUUUCUGUUUAUAAUAUUAGUACGGACUGGCUAAAAUAUAAUAUGAUACUAUAAUGUAUAGUACGGGUGGUAACCCUAAGCCUGUUAUAUAUAGAUCUCCACAAAUUUGAAAAAAUAUUUUUUACACGGAUUUAGUCUCCGGGCCGUAAUAUACAUACCAAAUUCAUUAUUUGUACGUGAUGUAGUUUAUGUUGUUGAUUGUAGUCUUGAAUAUAUAUUUUAAAGUAGUUAUGAUUAGUGCACUAAUAGGUAAUUAUUAAAAAAUAAAUUAUUUUCUAAAAAUUUUGGGACAAAAAUAAUGGUACAAAUUGUAUAAAAUACUAAAUAAUAAUAAUAAUAUGGAAAAAUACUAGAUUUAUUUGAUUGCGAGUUCAUUACACUUUUAUAUGAAAACUAGCAUCCCGUCUCGGCUUCGCUCCGGUGGACCAAUAUCACUUAUAGGUGUAAAAAAAAUUUAUAUAUAUAUAAAUGUCAUCAAAAUCGGUCAAGCCGUUUCGGAGGAGUAUGAUAACUAAAGCUGUGACACGACUUAUUUAUGUACUAUAUUAGAAUUAUGUACAUGUAGCAAUGUCCACAAUAAAAUUGAGUCCAAUAUUACACUUAAAUUAUGUAAUUUUUAUUAAUUAUAUUUUUCUAAGUAUAAUUAUAAUUAUCUAAUGUAUGUUUGUAUUCAUAACGGGUUAACUACGCAUUUAUUAACAUAUGAAAUAUAUACAAAAAUAUUUCCCCAAUAAUAUUGUCUACAUUAUAUUAUACUUAGGAUAUGUAACUUGUUAUUAUAUAAUAAUAUUUAAGCAUAUUUUAUUACUAUAAAAAUAUGUGUUGCCAGUAACCGUCAAAUCUUGUGUAAUAAGUAUUAUAAAAUCUAUAUAUUUAUAAUAUCUAAUAAAAAUACAUAAUUUGGGUUAUAAUCUCAUCUUAAAUGUAACUAAUAGUAUAAGCGCGGAAGUAAGUUUGUUUCUUACCUCUUCACACGCUUUAUCUACUCCACCAAUCUUUUUUAAAUUUUGAGAACGACAUGGUAUUUCUGGAAAAAUAACCGCUCCCGUGGGAAAUUCACGCGGGCGGAGUCGCAGGCAAUAGCUAGUUUAUAUAUAUAUAUAUAAUCAAUGUCCAAUCAAAUAUAGAUUUUGUAUCUCUUUCUAAAACAUGCGAGCUAUUGCUAUUAGUCUUGUAUAUAUAUAGUUGUCUGUUUCAAAAAACAAAAUGUAUGGUUUAAGUGCCUAUACUAACGGUCCAGUACGAUGUACUUUUAUCGGAUUUAGUAGAUUUUGUACACCAGUGUGGUCUCUUGGUCUUGGUAGCGCUUUGAACAUUGCAAUAUUUUGGGUGUAAUUAUUGUGUUGUGCAUUGCAAUUUAUUCAAAUUAAGACCGUAUAGCCUGAGCUUAAAGCAUAAAUUAGCUUGCUAUCUGAACGGGUAACUCCUUCGUAUGACCUAACUCAAAUAAAGGGUACAGCACCGAACGGCUUUCGAAAGCAAACCCAUUCCAAAAACGCCUUCAAAACCCGUGAAAGGGAUAACGGUCCGGUCCCUGGUUCUUACAGCGAGAUAUGGAGUAAAGUUAACACAUGUUGCGACAUAUAAAACUAUGCUAAUUACAAGACUUCGAUCGUAAUAAAUAUUAGCUACACAUUAAUAGUUUAUAUUGUUAUAUAUUAUUAGAAAAAAAAACAUUGUAAGAAACAAUAACGGUAAGCCAAUCUGGCAUGAUAGGGACCAACACUGUUCAAAUGAGUUUCUUUCGGCAUUUCUUCUCAGCAGUGGUCGUUCCGAAAUGCCAGUAGUUUGUAGCUUGUGAGAAAUAACUAUAAAUAUAAAAAUUGACGAGAAAAAGUGCCUGUGAAGGUCUAAUUUCUGAAUAAAUUAUUUGAAUUUGAAUUUAACCCGAUUGCAAUGUUCAAUUAGACAUUAAAAAGUAAGACUUCUAAGGCUUUAAUCGUAUGACUCAAAAACAAACGGUUGAAACACUAAGUCUUUUUUAAAAGCCUUUAGACCAUUUCAUAAUCCACGUGAAAUCAAAUGUAAUCACUACCUAUGAAGUAUUUAUCAUAUUAUUGUAAGACUGUACAAUUGUAGUCGAUCGUAUUUAGAAUAUAAGAAAUAUUUAUAAUAAUAAAAAGUAACUUCUAUAAUGUUGGGUAUUUAAUAGAUCCUUAUUUAUAUUUUCCUUAUCGAAUUACAUCAUGUUAGCUAAUACUUUUGUUUAGCAUAAAUUUGCAUCCUACAGGUAGGUAUUACACAAAAUGGUGUAAUAAUCAACAUACUGAAUUCCGAUGUCUUCCAUCCUAGUCCAUAGCAAAAGAAAACAUAAUGUGCCAGCUGCUUCUCCUGUGUAAAAGUCGAUCAAGGGAAAAGUAACUAUGGAUUUUUGUAAUAGGCGAUUAGGGACCCAUUACUGUUUAAUAUCAAUUCUUGAAAUAAUCGCCUUACAUCUAAAAGUGACUUUCGACUUGAAAUUUGCGUCUCUGUUUACCCCGUUAGGAAUAAAGACGCGAAACUGUAUAUGUAUCCGAACUAAACGCAGUCACGGCGUCAGCAGAAACCCUUCCGCCAUGCAGGGCUGUUCCCGGCGGCCCGACUAGGAGUGUUUUGGUCAAGCCGCAUAUG